Molecule: non-coding RNA, 86 nt
Organism: Cephalotrichum gorgonifer
Lineage: Eukaryota; Fungi; Ascomycota; Sordariomycetes; Microascales; Microascaceae
Source: the annotation of a GenBank genome assembly
GGUCCAAUAGUCUAGGUGGUUAGGACGUGGGAUUCUGAUAAUUCAAGAAUCUUCCCGAAACCUCGGUUCGAAUCCGGGUUGGACCU